UCCGGCUUUCACCGGCUGUCUCGUUAGAGUGCCCAACUGAAUGCUGGCAACUAACGAUAAGGGUUGCGCUCGUUGCGGGACUGAACCCAACAUCUCACGACACGAGCUGACGACAACCAUGCACCACCUGUCACCGCUGCUCCGAAGAGAGCCUCUAUCUCUAGAGGGGUCAGCGGGAUGUCAAGCCUUGGUAAGGUUCUUCGCGUUGCUUCGAAUUAAACCACAUGCUCCACCGCUUGUGCGGGCCCCCGUCAAUUCCUUUGAGUUUCAGCCUUGCGGCCGUACUCCCCAGGCGGAGUGCUUAAUGGGUUACCUACGGCACCGAGGACGGGAAGUCCCCGACACCUAGCACUCAUCGUUUACGGCGUGGACUAC
Molecule: unclassified non-coding RNA, 375 nt
Filed under: uncultured Thermoactinomycetaceae bacterium
Lineage: Bacteria; Bacillati; Bacillota; Bacilli; Caryophanales; Thermoactinomycetaceae
Description: contains 16S-23S intergenic spacer region
Source: RNAcentral